UACGUAGGGGGCUAGCGUUGUCCGGAAUCAUUGGGCGUAAAGAGCGCGUAGGCGGCCAGAUAAGUCCGGUGUGAAAGUCAAAGGCUCAACCUUUGAAUGUCAGUGGAUACUGCCGGGCUAGAGUCCGGAAGAGGCGAGUGGAACUCCUGGUGUAGCGGUGGAAUGCGCAGAUAUCAGGAAGAACACCAACGGCGAAGGCAGCUCGCUGGGGACGGUACUGACGCUGAGACGCGAAAGCGUGGGGGAGCGAACAGG
RNAcentral lists this ribosomal RNA (255 nucleotides) under uncultured bacterium. RNAcentral describes it as "partial 16S ribosomal RNA". It matches the Rfam family "Bacterial small subunit ribosomal RNA", at positions 524 to 776 of the family's 1533-position model. The record is from RNAcentral.